This 67-nucleotide small RNA is filed under the name Domibacillus iocasae. Its description in RNAcentral is "Bacillaceae-1 RNA". It matches the Rfam family "Bacillaceae-1 RNA". Lineage: Bacteria; Bacillati; Bacillota; Bacilli; Caryophanales; Bacillaceae. The record is from Rfam by way of RNAcentral.
CAAAAAAGAUCAAAGGCGGCAAACGCGGCAUCCCGUCGCAUCGCCUUUGUAACCCGCAUCAAGCGGG